UGCAAGUUGGCGUGCAGGUGG
RNAcentral lists this unclassified non-coding RNA (21 nucleotides) under Mus musculus (house mouse). RNAcentral describes it as "oocyte_clustered_small_RNA1926". The record is from RNAcentral. Lineage: Eukaryota; Metazoa; Chordata; Mammalia; Rodentia; Muridae.